This 502-nucleotide ribosomal RNA is filed under the name uncultured Sphingobacteriaceae bacterium. Its description in RNAcentral is "bacterial SSU rRNA". It matches the Rfam family "Bacterial small subunit ribosomal RNA", at positions 18 to 507 of the family's 1533-position model. The record is from RNAcentral. Lineage: Bacteria; Pseudomonadati; Bacteroidota; Sphingobacteriia; Sphingobacteriales; Sphingobacteriaceae.
CCUGGCUCAGGAUGAAACGCUAGCGGCAGGCCUAAUACAUGCAAGUCGAACGGGGAUCUACUGGUAAGCUUGCUUAUUGGUAGUGAGAGUGGCGCACGGGUGCGUAACGCGUGAGCAACCUACCCUUGUCAGGGGGAUAGCCCGGCGAAAGUCGGAUUAAUACCGCAUGAUAUCAUUGAGAGGCAUCUUUCGAUGAUCAAAGAUUUAUCGGACAAGGAUGGGCUCGCGUGACAUUAGCUAGUUGGUAAGGUAACGGCUUACCAAGGCUACGAUGUCUAGGGGCUCUGAGAGGAGAAUCCCCCACACUGGUACUGAGACACGGACCAGACUCCUACGGGAGGCAGCAGUAAGGAAUAUUGGUCAAUGGACGGAAGUCUGAACCAGCCAUGCCGCGUGCAGGAGGACGGCCCUAUGGGUUGUAAACUGCUUUUAUACGGGAACAAACGUCGGUACGUGUACCGGUCUGAGUGUACCGUAAGAAUAAGGAUCGGCUAACUCCGUG